Amblyraja radiata (thorny skate) is the source of this 579-nucleotide long non-coding RNA. RefSeq lists it as uncharacterized. Lineage: Eukaryota; Metazoa; Chordata; Chondrichthyes; Rajiformes; Rajidae. The transcript has 5 exons. The record is from RefSeq and is a predicted model, not a curated record.
UCGACCCUCCAGUUACUCUUGAAUAUUGCCCCUUACCUUAAAUCUAUGUCCCCUGGUUCUUGAUUUCCCCUACUUUGGGUAAAAGGUUGUGCAUUCAUCCUCAUGAUUUUGUACACCUUGUCUUGUAUUCCAUCUGGCAUUUCUUUAUCAAUUUAUUGGUUCUCCUUUGAGUUCUAAAUGCUCCCAUUCUUCAGGUUAAAAACUAUAUCUGACAACUUAUGUGCUUGUUAACACUCCCUUUAAUUCCUCAUGCCAGCCAUGAAUAAUUCACUGUGUUUUGUUUGUUUUUGUGCAUUCAAAUACUUUUCUUUAUUGUUCUUGAUGUCAGAUCAAAGGGAAGAUUAAUUGGCCGAAAAGGCAACCAAAAAUAGUGCCCUUUGAAGAAGCCCUCAUAAUUGAUGAACCAGGGGAAGCAAUUCCACACAUUGUUCAAGAAGAUAUCGAUCAGAAUGCUUGCCAGCAAUUGCCAACAUUGCUGGCAAGCGCGAGAGUAACCAAUGACACCUGGGUUACAUUUGUGUUAGUCUGGAAGUGAUCCGUUCAAUCAUUUGCAGGUAUUCCUCUGAGGAAGAUAUGCAA